RNAcentral lists this non-coding RNA (75 nucleotides) under Thalassiosira antarctica. The record is from RNAcentral. Lineage: Eukaryota; Bacillariophyta; Thalassiosirophyceae; Thalassiosirales; Thalassiosiraceae.
AAUUGCUGAGGAAAGUCCACCAACCAAGAAAUAUGUCGUCGUUGGAGGCGGAUGGGGAGGCUGGGGUGCCGCGAA